Molecule: long non-coding RNA, 13672 nt
Filed under: Mytilus galloprovincialis (Mediterranean mussel)
Lineage: Eukaryota; Metazoa; Mollusca; Bivalvia; Mytilida; Mytilidae
Source: RNAcentral
GGUAAGAGUGGCGAUGUGCAUCUAAUUGACAAAAUCACCAAUUAUUGACCAAUAGAAUGAGAUGAAGAAGAAACAUCAUUUGUAAAGCAGUUUUUAUCACCAAAGCAGUGUUUCAGUAAUUUAGAAUUUCAUUCAUUUAAAAGUACUCAAAUUUGCAAUAACUAACUGAAUUUGGAGUUUGAUACAGAUUGGUUCGUAGUUCACAUGUAAGUUUAGUUAGUACUACAUUUUGCUUCGAUUUUAAGUAACUUUGAAAAUUAAAUGAUAUUCUGAAUUUCUUGCAAGAUUAAAUAUUUUGUUAAAGAUUAUUUGACGCGAAAUUACAAUGGCGUAAUCAUUUGUUUUGCAUUUUCAAUAGGUUAUCAGUGGUGGGUAUUUUUCUGCGAUAAUUAUUUCGAAACUACAAAAUGGGUCGUUGUUCCCGGAAUUGGAAAAACUCAUGCAAAAGUCAAAUCAUCAUAGAAUCGUCUGAGGUUUUUCUUCUGAGCGAUCUUAGGAGUUGCUCUGAGGCUAGGAAAUUGUUACAUUUGAUUUUUAGUCAUAAGUUGGCAUUACAUCAAGAUCAUGCUGAAUAUGAUUGAAAUACAAUGUAUAUGUAUAUUCUCUAAAAAUGAGGGUACUUUUUAUAUGGCCUUCCAAAUACCGUUUCGAUCCCUAACAUCACUGAAGAGACAUUUAUUGUCGAAAUCCGGAUCUGGUGUACUAAAUAAAUAUUGACACCGUAUAUUUGUGGCAUAACAUCGUGGCGCCGGGUCUGGAACCUGUACUUUAUUUUCUAACUUUUACGACAACACCGCCUAGCAUUGCACAGAGACCUUAUCCCCUCUUCUAACUCUAGCUUAUAAAACAUACGCUUUCGUUUCGGGAGGUGUUACCUUCUUGUAGGAAUUAAACAAGGAUCUCUGAUACAAUACACGAAGUAUUUAUUUUUAGUGUACAGAAAUGAUCAUCUACUCAUCUCUUCAGUAUAAUUGCAGGAUGCUAAUCUAUUUUUAGAAGCAUACAAUAACUGUAAAUAAAUAUAGACAAUAUUUAGACAAUAUUUUAUUGGCACAAACGCAUUUACAAUAAAUGGUAAUGACCGAAUGGAUAAACAAUUUGCUAUACAUGGUGGUAAAAUACAAACAAUUAUAUAUAUAUGUCAAUAAACGAUUAAAGGUAUAAUGAAAAUCUAUUACAAUAGAUUACUUCUUGCAUUAAAACAAUUUGUUACGAAAGAGGAAGAUAAUUUUAGUGCCUUAUAGGAUGUAUUAUUAAGUAUGAGAUUUAUUAUAUUUUUAUCACACAAUGUGGUUACACUUUUUCCUGUAAUAUUAAACAUUUUUAAUACAAAAGACUCUCUAAUACUGGAGUAACCGCUACAGUGUAGCAACAUGUGCUGUUCAUUUUCAAUUUCGCCACUUUUACAGAUUUCAUAUGUAUAUGUCUGCCUGUGUGUAGUGACAACUGCAAAUUAUACAUUGUCCAUCGUAUUUCUUAUGAUAAAGAAAUACCAGGCCUUAGAAUAUGUAUAAAGUGCCUAGAAAAUCAACCUAACGAUGUUAGAGUAGAUUUGAUUCGUAACUUUCUCCCCGUCGCCGGGUCUGGAACCUGUACUUUAUUUUCUAACUUCUACGACAACACCGCCUAGCAUUGCGCAGAGACCUUAUCCCCUCCUCUAACUCUAGCUUAUAAAAAAUAAGCUUUCGUUUCGGGAGGUGUUACCUUCUUGUAGGAAUUAAACAAGGAUCUCUGAUACAAUACACGACGUAUUUAUUUUUAGUGUACAGAAAAGAUCAUCCUGCAUCCUGCAAUUAUACUGAAGAGAUGAGUAGAUGUUGAGAUACUGUUACUAGGAUCUAUUUAUAGAUUAUCGUCAUUUCUAUUUUAAAUUUAUUCGGAUUUUCUGUAAACUAUGUAUUCAUGGUAUUUUGAUGUGUACAAGGAAGAAAAUUUCAAGUUAUACUAGGAUAACUGACUUAUUAAUGAAUGAACAUGUUCUAAAAAAUGUAAACGGUUAUAAUACGUAUUCGUGUUUAUUUUUUGAUAUUAUAAUGAAAGUACUUCAGUUUAUUAUGUAUGUCAGCAACAUAAAUCGUUUUGAUUUUUCUACGCUUUACACUACUAUUCCCCAUGCUCAGUUGAAAAUCGACUUCACCAUCUCAUUUAAAAGAGCUUUUCUAUGAAAAUGGGUAUUGUAAUUAGAAAUUUCUUGUUUUUGGUUACAAUAAUUCAUAUUUUGUUAAGAGCCACACUGAAUCUACCAGAAAUAUACUUUAGAUGUAUAGAGACACACACAUGUUAAAUUGUAUCUCUAAAAAGUUCGCACCUUAAUAUCCUACUAUCUGUCGAUACAUUUAUUUUUGGCAUUUCACAAGUCAUGUCUUCUCUGACUGUUCAUGACGUAAAAAUACUAAAUCCCUGGGAUGUGUUUUAGUUGAUUUUAGCCUCUGAUGCAUGAUUUUUAAUUAUUAAUUGUUUUGGGUUUUUUAACUAGCUGUCAGUAACUGCGAGUACUCUCAAAUCGUACUUUCUUGUUAAUUUGGCCUAUUUGCCAAUGUAAUGUUGGUUUUUUUUUGUUUUUUUUUAUAUUAAUAUUGAUCUUGUCUAUAUACCAGCUUUUUGAUUAUUUUGAAUAUCUACUAAUUUUCACUUUUUCGUACUAUGAACAUCAAAAUUAUUCUCCUUAAAUCUGUACGGGAAGUUUUAUCUAGCUCUAAUUGUAUAUCUAAUCCCAGAUCAUUCACUAUUACUUUGUGAUCUAAUUAUCGGAUGCAAAUAUGACUCUAAUACGACAAAUUACGAUAUUAACUCGGAUGAUCAAAACAAGAAAUUUAAAGUGACAAAUCUACCAAACGAUUUUAUGAAUAGAGAUGAAAUAGAUACCAAGUCAAUGAAGUUAUCAUGAAUAUUGAAAAUUCAAUUCGAAUUACUGAAAAUGUUCAAACUGCGUAUGAAUUGUAAAAUAAGUAAUAGUAAUUGAACGGAAAACAUGCGUGCCAUGGGCAGUCGUUGAUGAAAAUGGAAACGUGAAAACGGACAAAGAAAGCGUUCUGAACAAAUUGAAAAACAAUUUUCAUACAUUAUUUCCAAGUGAAUCUACAGAAAACCAACGAGCAAAUGACACUUUUGAUUCAAACGACAAGGUACGAUAAGGCCUGUUUUUGGCCCCUCUUUUUUCCCAUUUUUUAAAUUCUGUUUUGGUAAUCUACUUAUUAUGUUCAAAUAUUCCCUGAAGUUUGAAGUUUGUUUGGGUGAAUUUUAAAACCACAAAGUAGAACUGUAUAUGAUAUUUGGAGUUGGAUAUCACGUCGACGGAAAGGCUGGAAUACGGAAGUGAACAAGAUGGUGAACUAAUUGGAAAUUAGGAACUUUGUUAGUGAUGUAUCAUUAACUACAAAAGUAGCCAUGAAAAAAGUCACUGAACAAGUUAACAUCUAAAAUAUUAGAAUGGCAGAGAGAAUUAUUUAACGAUCGCGGAAAAGAAAAUGGAAAUAAACUUAUAACAUACAGGCAAUACAAAAGCAACUGUUCUGUGGAACCGUAUGUGUGAAAAACUUUUCCACGGUCGUACCGCCGUGUAAUGGCCCUGUUUUGUGCAGGCUUGCUCCCGUUAGCCAUCGAGACUGGAAGAUACACCAAGCCGCUAAUACCUGUUGAAGACAGUUUAUGUGUUUAUUGCUCUGACAAUAGUGUUAAAACUGAGAAACAUUUUUUAUUGAACUGUUAUAUAAUGACUUAAGAUUUGACCUUUAAUCAGAAUGUUCACAAAAUAUUAAUAGUUUUUGGAAAUUUGAAUGACAAUUUAAAAUUUAUACAAAUCAUGAAUUGGCUCCGAGAUUCAGCCAUUUUUAUGUAAAAGUAUUCAGAAGGGGUUUUUUUGCGACGUAAAUUAUUUACAUAUUUUUUAACUAUUUUUCAUGCGACAUAAAUCAUGUAAAUUGUUUACUUAAAUUUUUAACCGUGAAAAAUUAUUUUAUUUCAUUCUGUUUAUUUAAAUUAUGCAUAUCAGUUGUUUUUUCCCCGAAGUGGAAAUUGUUAAAAUGUAAGCUUUUAAUUAUUUAUUGGAAAGAAGAAAGCUUCUGCUACAUAAAUAUGGGCUGUUUUUGACAAUACAUUUACAUAUAUCGAGAACUAGCAUCAUGCUAAAUUACUGAAAUAUUCACAAUUUUAGCAUUUUAGUUAAAUUUUAGACGGUUUCCGUCUUCAACGAAAGUGGCCGCAUUUGGGUUCAUUCUUAAAAUUCAAAUGUAAGUUGUAUUUGAUGAUAACGCAUGACAUAUAUAAAGGUUGAGGGUUUUGACAAAAAAACAUCUAAAAAGUGACAUUUUGGGCAUAUUUGAUAGAUUUUUCAUAUUUUAGCUUGAGUCGGAGCACUUUUGAUGACUAAUUCAGUUGAAAUCUUUCACAUCAACUAAUUGAAACCACUGAAAUAGACACUUUAGUGUUUAAAAAAUGUCUAAAAUCUUUUGUCAUAUGAACCUCAAAUUUGAGGCCAAAAUCAGCCCUUACUGGACCUACCCCCUUAUUCGUUCAUAGUGAGUUAAUUUACGUUUUUUGAUUGAGUUAAGCCUUCCAAUUGAUAUUUUAUCGUGUGUUUUUCUAUUUUGUGAUGUUAUACUAUUGUUUCAGAAAAAGGGAGAAUUUUUGGUACCAUUAAAACGUUUAAUUCCGCUGCAAAUGUUUGCACCUGUCCUAAGUCAGGAAUCUGAUGUACAGUAGUUGUCGUUUGUUUAUGUAAUUAAUACGUGUUUCUCGUUUCUUGUUUUUUUAUUUAGAUUAGAUGGUUGGUUUUCCCGUUUGAAUGGUUUAACACUAGUAAUUUUGGGGACCUUUACAGCUUGUUGUUCGGUGUGGGCCAAUGCUCCGUGUUGAAGGCCGUACCUUGACCUAUAAUGGUUUACUUUUAAAAAAAUAGUUUUUUUGGAUGGUGAGUUGUCUCAUUGGCACUCAUACCACAUUUUCCUAUAUCUUUUAUGAUGAUAUUAUCAAAAUACUGGACUUUUUGAUCGACAAUAUAUUUCAGAUAGUCUGUACUCCAAUGGCUACUUAUUGUGCAGCACCCCUACUGACCGAUUUGUUUUUGUAUUCGUAUGAAGCAGAAUUCAUUCAAAAUCUUCUGACAGACAAAAAGAAAAAACACCUUGCGAAAUUCUUUUAUUUUACUUUUAGAUAUAUUGAUAGUGUCCUAACAUUGCAUUACCCAUAUUUCAACCAAUACUUACAUCUCAUAUAUCUCAGUGAACUUUAAAUUCAGGAUACUUCUGAUACUAAAAGGACUGCAUCAUACCUUGAAAUUUUCCUCAAUAUUCACACAAAUGAACGACUUCACACGAAAAUCUAUGAUAAAUGGGACAUUUUCAAAUUCCAAAUUAUCAAUUUCCCAUUUCUCAGCAGUAACAUAACCUCUGCCCUUUCGUAUGGUGUUUACAUAUAUCAGUUGAUACGUUAUGCUCGUGCAUAUUCACACUAUACAGACUUCUUAUACAGGAGUUUGCUCCUAACGCAGAAAAUGCUCCAAUGCUUAAAAAUGACACUCCGUAUUUCAUGGACACCAUCACGGAUUGUAUGAUCCAUACGAUGUGUGGUUGUCCAAACUAACUAAAGACAUUUUAACACAUGUUAAAUUGCGGUUUGCCAUUACGUCGUCUAAUCUUGUAAGUACCGAACGUGACUUAUUCCCAAUUGUGUCUGUUUUACUGAUUGUGAAUUCGAAUUGCUGUAAGACGUGUCACGGUAUUUUUUUUAUCCAAAAUUCAUGUAUUUAUGUCACCCUGACGGAGGUCGGGUGACAUAUUGUUAUUGAACGAUUCUUUUUUUUAUUUUUAUUAUUAUUCCACACAUUUUUGUCCAUACUAUUUCUUGGAAUCGUAUGGACCAAUUGUAAUGGAACUAUACCAGAAUGUUAAUGACCAUUGUCAGAAGUGCAGUCGAGGUUGGCACUUCCAGGAUGUCUACUGUUACCAUGGAAACAGAAAAAGAGUGAAAAAAUGAAGUUUUAGUUUUUGGUAAAUAAUUUAACUAUAACAAAACAUUUACUCAUCAUAUUUUUAUACACUGUAGCUGUCCUCUAUAUACAUGCUGUGGAUGAUUUUGAGAUUCAUUGGAACUACCAUGUUGCCAUAGGAACUGAUCAAAAAUAUCAAAAAUUUGAAAAUUCUUUAAAAAUAUAUAAAACUUUUACACAAAUGUUGCCUGGCAAAUCUAGAUGUUGCAUUCAACUUUGGAAUUUCCAAAAUGGCUGCAGUUACCAUGGAAACAAGGCAAAAACAUCAAAAUGAGAAAAUGUGAUGGAACAUUCCAGAACAUUAAUGUUGUACAGCUAUUAAAUGUUAUAUGAUUGUAAAAUAUUAUGGGGAAUACAAUAUGAAGCAGAAGUAUGACUUUGGAAUUUUCAAAAUGGCCGCCGUUGCCAUAGAAACAGUAAAAACAUCAAAAUUUUACAAAUGCUUUAAACUUUCUAAAAAUUUGCAAACUGAUGCAUUGUAAAGUAAAUUAGUUAAUUUAAUGUUAACAUUUCGAAAUGGCUGCCGCUUAGUGGCAAUUGGUGGACCAGGGUGACAUCCGCUAUUGCUUGCAAUGGCAAUUCUAGUUAGUUUUGAUGUAAUAUUUGUUAUUCUCAUCGGAUUUUAUCAAAUAUCUUAUCGUUUGUAGUUUUAAAUCUUUUCGUUUUUUCCUUGUUCUAUUAAUCACCAAAUUCAUUUAUUAGAUUUAAGUUUGUGUCAACUAAAUUGAGACGAUGUAUUUGGUUUACAGUUCGAUGUAGAAGAAAUACCGACAUAGCUAAUUAAUACAAUUAAUUAUCUAAUUACUACCACUAUUUCAUAUAAAUAAGUAUUGUAUUUUGCAUUGUUGUUAAUACAUAUUAUAUCAGUAUUACAAACCUAAUCUAUAACUCUAUCCUAUUUGGGGGGGGGGAUAUUAGGGAUUUUCUUCUCCCAUGCAAUUAACCUUGGUCGUAUUUAGCACAACAGUUUGAAAAUUUUGGUCCUCAAUACUCUUUAACUUUGUACUAGUUUUGGCUUUCGAAAUUUUUUAUCUGAGCGUCACUGAUGAGUCUUAUGUAUACGAAACGCGCGUCUGGCGUUUAGAUUAUAAGCCUGGUACCUUUCGAUAGCUAUUAUUUGUGCGUUAAUCUUGUUCUGCACGUUCUCCCAUUUAUUUGUAUUGACGUCCUGUCAUGUAGUGUUGUCAUUUUAAGGAUAUAUUUUAUAUUGCCAUUAAAGCAGAAGGUUUGGCUAGCCACAAAACUAGGUUCAAACCCCCAUUGUUCUUAAAAUGUCCUGUACCAAGUCAGGAAAAUGGCCAUUGUUAUAUAUGAAUUCAUGAAUGCAAAACUUUUUAUAAUUUUUUUUUUAAAUGCCAGAUUAAGCAAUGCGUGUAUAGGAUUUUGGAAAUCGUAUUGAUUAACAUAACAUAGUAUAUAGAUUGAUAUUAUUAUGACCUAUAAUGGUUUACUUUUAAAAAAUUGUGACUUGGAUCGAGAGGUGAGUCAUUAGCACUUACACAAAAUUUUCUUAUAUCUAUUAAUUGAAAAUGACGUUUUAAUCUAUGAUAGCGUUGGAUAAAAACCUCAUUUUUAUACGUGUAAAAGUAGUUUAUUGAUUCAGCGAACUUAGAUAUAAUGAUUUAGGCCAAUUUUUGUUUAAUUUUGCCCAGUCGUUAAAUUCAUUUUUUGAAGAAACAUGUUUUUCUAAAAAAAAUCUAAUGUUCUAUUAUGGAAUUUUGAAGACCUUUUAUCAAUUGAUAAUUUUAAAGACGCCAAAAAUCACGAUGGUCAAAUUUAGUGGAAUUUAAAUAUAAACUUUAGAUUGUGAAAAAUGUAAGCUAUUAUAUGACAACCCCAACGUAGAUGUUCUAUAGCUUCUGGAUCUUACUUGCAAAAUGUAUACAAGUUACAGUUUUAAAAUAACUUAAAAAGGUUCGUUUCAAAGAGUAGAGCAUUUGUAUCCAAUAUAAAAUUGAGAAUGGAAAUGGGGAAUGUGUUAAAGAGACAACAACCCGACCAUUGAAAAAAACAACAGCAGAAGGUCACCAACAGGUCUUCAAUGUAGCGAGAAAUUCCCGCACCCGAAGGCGUCCUUCAGCUGGCCCCUUAACAAAUAUAUACUAGUUCAGUGAUAAUGAACGCCAUACUAAUUUCUAAAAUUGUACACAAGAAACUAAAAUUAAAAUAAUACAGACUAACAAAGGCCAGAGGCUCCUGACUUGGGACAGGCGCAAAAAUGCGGCGGCUUUAAACAUGUUUGUGAGAUCUGAACCAUUCCCUAUACCUCUAGCCAAUGUAGAAAAGUAAAAUGAAUAAUUUCAUAUUGAAACUAUCAUAACAUUGUGUUUUAUAAUCAAUGGUAACAUAAAAGUUUGUUUUUUUCAAAUUUCUUCAACUUUACAACAACAGCACACACGACACAACAUAGAAAACGAAAGAAUAAACAACACGAACCCCAUGUUAUACAUUUUUUGCAUGAUUGAAUUUCACAAAAUAUUUUAUACCCCAUGUGUACUUCUGGUCCUUAUAAGACUCAUCGAUGACAUUCGACUUUUAAAACACAUUAAAGCCCAUCUAUAAUUUUUGGGAUCAAAAAUCCCGAAAGGUUUUACUCAAUAUUGCCGAGGUGUUCUGACUUUUGCGGUUGAAAAUUCUUAGUUUUUCUAGAAAAAUAAAUGCAAUUAUACCCCAUCUGCUAUUUUUUUUUUAAUUUUCCGUUUGUAAAUUUCGAAAUUAUAAGAUACUAAGAUUUAACUCUCUCAGGCAAAGUUAAUGGAUGUGGCUAUGUUUAUGUACUUUUAGGUUUUAUAACUCUUGAUCUGUUUAGAUUUAUGUACAUCCCUGGCUUUCAAAUACUAGUAUUCUUUUCAUAUUUAUCUAUUCUUGUUAUUGUUCCUCACGCCAUUUUUUGUAAUUAACAAACUUUUAGCAACUGUCAUACAAGUUUUAAGCUAGAUGUAAAACCAGCUUUAUAUAAAAAAAAUAAAAAGAUGUGGUAUGAUCGCAAGUGAGACAACAAUGCACAAAAGACCAAAAUGACACAGAAAUUAACAGCUAUAGGUCAACGUAUAGCCUUCAACAAUGAGCAAAGCCCAUACCGCAUAGUGAGCAUCACUUUCUUUGGGAAAUGGUUGAACCAAGUCAGGAAUAUGAUAGUUGUUUUUCACUUGUUCCGUUAAUUUAUAUUGAAUUUGUUAGUUUUUAUUGAUCUCCCCUUGUUAAGUUUUCAUGGAGCUCAGCAUUUUUUUUAUACUCCUUUCGGUGUUUCUUUUUUACAGGCCAACUAUGGCUUAUUUCGUCUUGUACGUGUAUAUCAUAUAUAUAUAAUGAGGGUACUUUUUAUAUGGCCUUCCAAAUACCGUUUCGAUCCCUAACAUCACUGAGGAGACAUUUAUUGUCGAAAUCCGGAUCUGGUGUACUAAAAAAUAUUGACACCGUAUGUUUGUGGCAUAACAUCGUGGCCACAAGUUAAAUUUUUUCUGUUUAGUAUUAAAUUUAUAUUAAGAUCCAUCUUGUUACAUCUUGUGAUCAAUUUUAUUUGGCAAUCGCCAAUGGCAGUCAGCAGGGUUAAAGAACAUCAGUUGUUCGACCUGUUAGUCAAAUGCGUUUUGUUUAAACAUACUUUUUCACUUUUUUUGGUCUUUUGGAAAAUGUUAUUCGUGCUGUUUUUAGACCCUUCUACAAAGAAAAUUGUUUAACAUUCACACGUAUAAAAAUUGCGGUUUUUAUCCAACGCAAUCAUAGGUUUGAACGUAGUUUUCAAUUUAGACUCGUUUAUAUUUUUUCGUUUGGGCUUGUAUCAUAUUUUCUCUCUGGUUUAUAUGAUCUAUUUACCUAUAUUGACUUUUUAAAUUCAACAGUCUAUCUAAAAAUGAGGGUACUUUUCUAAAAAUGAGGGUACUUUUUAUAUGGUAUUCCAAAUACCGUUUCGAUCCCUAACAUCACUGAAGAGACAUUUAUUGUCGAAAUCCGGAUCUAAUGUACUAAAAAAAAUGACACCGUAUGUUUGUGGCAUCACAUCCUGGCCACAAGUUAAAUUUUUAUUCUGUUUAGUAUUAAAUUUAUAUUAAGAUCCAUUUUGUUACAUCUUGUGAUCAAUUUUAUUUGGCAAUCGCUAAUGGCAGUCAUCAGGGUUAAAGAACAUCAGUUGUUCGACCUGUUAGUCAAAUGCGUUUUGUUUAAAUAUACUUUUUCACUUUUUUGGUCUUUUGGAAAAUGUUGUUAGUGCUGUUUUUAGACCCUUCUACAACGAAAUUUGUUUUACAUGCACACGUAUAAAAAUUGCGGUUUUUAUCCAACGCAAUCAUAAGUUUGAACGUAGUUUUCAAUUUAGACUCGUUUAUAUUUUUUCGUUUGGGCUUGUAUCAUCUUUCCUUUCGGUUUAUAUGAUCCGUUCACCUAUAUUGACUCUUAAAAAUGAGGGUACUUUUCUAAAAAUGAGGGUACUUUUUAUAUGGUAUUCCAAAUACCGUGUCGGUCCCUAACAUCACUGAGGAGACAUUUAUUGUCGAAAUCCGGAUCUGGUGUACUAAAAAAAUAUUGACACUGUAUGUAUGUGGCAUAACAUCGUGGCCACAAGUUAAAUUUUUUUCUGUUUAGUAUUUAAUUUAUAUUAAGAUCCAUUUUGUUACAUCUUGUGAUCAAUUUUAUUUUGCAAUCGCCAAUGGCAGUCAGCAGGGUUAAAGAACAUCAGUUGUUCGACCUGUUAGUCAAAUGCGUUUUGUUUAAACAUACUUUUUCACUUUUUUGGGUCUUUUUGAAAAUGUUAUUUGUGCUAUUUUUAGACCCUUCUACAAAGAAAUUUGUUUAACAUGCACACGUAUGAAAAUUGCGGUUUUUAUCCAACGCAAUCAUAGGUUUGAACGUUGUUUUCUAUUUCACGGCCGACACUCGGCUAACCGAGAGAUUGGUCGGUUAAUCUAUAUUGAGUAUGCGGCUAUAUGGGCGAUUGGUCUGUUAAUCGGGUUGGUUAUACGUCUGUCAAGAGUAAAACGCUUAAUUUAAUGUUUAACUCUAUUAAAUAUACAGAUGUUUUGCAUGUUAUAAGAACCAAAUCAAAAAAAAAAGUGUCUGACAAAAUGAAUUCUAUCAUAGAACAUUUUGCACUUGUAAAAACAUUUCUUAGUCUGCGCAGUUUUCAGUAAAACUAAAACGCGUCGCGCAGGUAUGUAGAAUUUAUGCUUAUACGCAUAGCAAUUUUUUUAAUAAAAGGCUAAACAAACAAAUUUAGAUAUCAUUUAAAGGACAAAAAAUAGUACUGUGGUUCUAAAAAAAAAAUUGACAUUAGUAAAUAUUUCAUAAUUGUAAAAUAACGUGAAUAAUACCACGUUUUAGUGAAAAUUAUGGGAAUAAAGUCUGUUAAUUGGUUGGACAAUUGAAAUUGUGUCAGUUAAGAGUUAUUUAGCCUCGACAAUAAUUUUGCUACCUUUAUAUCUUCCCCUUGAAUAAUUUAAGAAUGAGAUGUUCCUGAAUAAACAAAAAUGACAAUACGGUGCCACAGUAUCCAAGAAAGAGCAUUUUAAUUUUAACUUUCUUUGCAUUUUAUUGAAGGAUGUGUCACUUCAAUAUAGCGAGAUAUGGAUUGGCCUCUGGAAUAUGCAUGAAUUUUUUAUUGACGUUUUCAAUCAGCCUUAUUUUUUGUGUCUGUUCGAAGUAGCACGUUCUCAAUUCCAAAAGUGUCUUUCUAAUACAACACAGGGUACAUAUAACGUGUUCUCGUUCACAUGUGACAUGAUAUUUGUCACUGGACGUUAAACCCUAAUUCGUCAGCAUCAUCCAAUUGGUUCUUUUCUUCUAUUACUAUAUCAUAUGUUGUUUACAAAUGCAGCUACAUUUGGUUAUCUUAAGUUUCAAUUCAUUUUAUUCCGUUUAGUACCUUACUACAUAAGUGCAGAGGAGAACUACAGUUGUCUAUGGUGGCCGGUGAAGUCCAUUUCGCUUUUUCGCGAUUUUGCCUUUCAUAUUCUUUAUGGCGAAAACGCGAAAUCGUGAAAAGGCGAAAUCGAGAAGUUAAAAACGCGAAAACGCGAAGUCGAAAACGAGAAAUCGGUUUUGCGUUUUCACGUUUUCAACUUCGCAAUUUCGCGUUUUCGCCCUAUAGAAUAUGUAAGGCGAAAACGUUAAAGCGCUAUUUAAAACGCAAAAUGGCAUUAAUCUGCCACCAUAGUUGUCUGCAUGUAAACUUCUAGAAUUUGUCACCAAUAUAAGUACAUCGCAAUCAUAGGUUUGAACGUAGUUUUCAAUUUAGACUCGUAUAUAUAUGUUUGUGUAUUUCAUAUCUGACGUUCAUAUUAGUUGGUAAUUUAUAUAUCAUCUAUACCUCUAUUAUCUUCAGAUUUCAUGACAAAUAAGGCAGAAAGUUUGCAUAUUUUAUUUGUUCAGAGAAUUGACAAUAUUUUAAUUUUUCCUUACAAUGAUCAAAUGUGUUGAUAAAAUUUGCGAUUCCUUUGAAAAUAGUUUUCCUCGUCACUAGAUAGUUCGACAAAAUAUAUCAACAAAAGUGAUGGAAAUACCAAAAAUGGCUUAAUCUGAUGCGCUUACAUUUCUUUUAUGUAAAACGUACCCAUUUUCACGAUGUUCGUAUUAAUGGUACGAACUUUUUAUUAAUCUAUGAUUUAUUGAAAUUCCAGAUGAUUUUGACAUUUUAAUGUUAAAUACCAUAAAGGAUAAUUUCAUGCAUUACAUGUAUUAUUUUAUGUCAGAUGUGUUGAAAGCUUUUCUUCUAUUGGUUAAUAGUUAGGGGCACAGAGUAAAUUUUAUAUUUCAAACAUUUAGACACAUGCGACGCCUAUUUGUUACGUUGUAUCUAAUAAAAUGAUCUUAAUGGUCAUAUUCCUAGUUGAAGCGGAUUUAUGAGACAACACAUGUAUAAUACUUAAUUAAGUAAAUAUAAAACAACCAGAUGUACAACACAGAUAUCUUACAUCACACGUUCUUAUAUUUGCCAAGUAGAAAUAUUCAAGACAGAAAUCAAUGAUUUUAUUUAAGGAAUGACUGUAAUAUUUUUUCUGUCUAUGAAGAAAUAACAUAAAAAAAUUGAUGCACACUGAAUAACGCGCGUAGCGGGUUAUUUAACAGUGUGCACCACAUUUUUUAUGUUAUUUCUAAUAGACAGAAAAAUAUUACAGUCAUUUCUUAUAAUUUAAUUCUAAAUUCCAUUUUAAACCGUAGAAAACCUUGAAAAAACGUUGAUGGCGUCACGGUCACAUGACUAAAUUAUGUCUGUGGUCUGUAACAAAAUAACGUCGGCCUAUCAGAAGACGUGUUACAUCCAAAAUUAAAUUAUAACAAAGUAACUUAUGGUAUAUAACAAAUCACGUUGAUUGAUAACGUUUGAUUUUGUAAGUUUGUAUAGACUUCCCCUUUUUUAUUCCAUCGUUUCUUCGAUUGAUAUUUGCACAUCCAAUUUUACGAAUAAUCGUAAAUUUAAGAAAAAAAUUAGUUAAUUCAUAUAACACUCCAUAACAAUAUGCUGUUAUAUUUCAGUAACCAUGAGUAUAUCACAUCAUAGUGGAAAUUGUCCAAAUUGCAGACAAAAUAUCAAUGAAAGUCAACGGUUUUGCGAACACUGUGGAUAUAAAAUUGAAGCGAGUAGAUCGACAAUAAUUUGCCUGGGAAAAAUGGAGGAUGGCAAUCAAUGUAACGGAUUGCUGAGAAACGAUGCAAGAUUUUGCCCAAACUGUGGGACGCGAAGCCAUAUUUUAG